UUUUUAUGAGAGUUUGAUCCUGGCUCAGGACGAACGCUGGCGGCGUGCCUAAUACAUGCAAGUCGAACGCUUCUUUUUCCACCGGAGCUUGCUCCACCGGAAAAAGAAGAGUGGCGAACG
RNAcentral lists this ribosomal RNA (120 nucleotides) under Enterococcus faecium. Its description in RNAcentral is "partial 16S ribosomal RNA". It matches the Rfam family "Bacterial small subunit ribosomal RNA", at positions 1 to 104 of the family's 1533-position model. The record is from RNAcentral. Lineage: Bacteria; Bacillati; Bacillota; Bacilli; Lactobacillales; Enterococcaceae.